Molecule: long non-coding RNA, 273 nt
Organism: Syzygium oleosum
Lineage: Eukaryota; Viridiplantae; Streptophyta; Magnoliopsida; Myrtales; Myrtaceae
Exons: 2
Source: RefSeq, a predicted model, not a curated record
CCGCCCGGGUGUGCCGCUACCAUCGACCUCUCGAAAGAAGCUUUCGCAACCAUCGCCAACCCAGAUGCCGGCAAUGUGGAAGUCACCUAUUUUCAGGUUCCAUGAAGAUCUAUGAAGACAACAACCACCCUGCAAUAAAGACGGCUAGAAAUGUCGAUUCUAGCUUUUGCAUGGCUUUUUAUGUUAUGUUGUCUCAUCAAACGUGAACUCAGCGUCUCGAAACUGUCUGAGAUGAUGUCUCUAUGAAUAAGACUUGUAAACGUUAUUGUGUAA